GAUGAACGCUGGCGGCGUGCCUAAUACAUGCAAGUCGAGCGAACAGACGAGGAGCUUGCUCCUCUGACGUUAGCGGCGGACGGGUGAGUAACACGUGGAUAACCUACCUAUAAGACUGGGAUAACUUCGGGAAACCGGAGCUAAUACCGGAUAAUAUAUUGAACCGCAUGGUUCAAUAGUGAAAGACGGUUUUGCUGUCACUUAUAGAUGGAUCCGCGCCGCAUUAGCUAGUUGGUAAGGUAACGGCUUACCAAGGCAACGAUGCGUAGCCGACCUGAGAGGGUGAUCGGCCACACUGGAAGUGAGACACGGUCCAGACUCCUACGAGAGGCAGCAGUAGGGAAUCUGACGCAAUGGGCGAAAGCCUGACGGAGCAACGCCGCGUGAGUGAUGAAGGUCUUCGGAUCGUAAAACUCUGUUAUUAGGGAAGAACAAAUGUGUAAGUAACUAUGCACGUCGUGACGGUACCUAAUCAGAAAGCCACGGCUAACUACGUG
RNAcentral lists this ribosomal RNA (497 nucleotides) under uncultured bacterium. RNAcentral describes it as "partial 16S ribosomal RNA". It matches the Rfam family "Bacterial small subunit ribosomal RNA", at positions 28 to 507 of the family's 1533-position model. The record is from RNAcentral.